This 840-nucleotide ribosomal RNA is filed under the name uncultured Actinomyces sp. Its description in RNAcentral is "bacterial SSU rRNA". It matches the Rfam family "Bacterial small subunit ribosomal RNA", at positions 333 to 1179 of the family's 1533-position model. The record is from RNAcentral. Lineage: Bacteria; Bacillati; Actinomycetota; Actinomycetes; Actinomycetales; Actinomycetaceae.
AGACACCAAGGGGAGGGAGAAAGGGGGAAUAUUGGACAAAGAGCGCAAGGCUGAUGCAGCGACGCCAGGUGAGGGAUGACGGCCUUCGGGUUGUAAACCUCUUUCAAUAGGGAAGAAGCAAAAGUGACGGGACCUGCAGAAGAAGCGGCGGAUAACUAGGUGCCAGCAGCCGAGGUAAUACGGAGGGGGGGAGCGUAAUCCGGAAUUAUUGAGAGUAAAGAGCUCGUAGGCGSUUUGUCGCGUCUGCCGUGAAAGUCCGGGGCUCAACUCCGGAUCUGCGGUGGGUACGGGAAGACUAGAGGGAUGUAGGGAAGACUGGAAUUCCUGGGGUGACGAUGAAAUGGGCAGACAUGAGGAGGAACACCGAUGGCAAAGGCAGGGCUCUGGGCAUUAACUGACGCUGAGGAGCAAAAGCAUGAGGAGCGAACAGGAUGAGAUACGCUGGUAGGCCAUGCCGCAAACGAUGGGAACUAGGUGCGGGGGACAUUCCACGCUUUCCGCGCCAUAGCUAACGCAUUAAAUGACCCGACUGGGGAGUACGGCCGCAAGGCUAAAACUGGAAAGAAUUGACGGGGGCGCGCACAAGCGACAGAGCAUGCAGAUUAAUUCGAUGCAACGCGAAGAACCUUACCAAGGCUUGACAUGAACCAGUAACGCCUGGAGACAGGUGCGCCACUUGCGGUCGGUUUACAGGUGGAGCAUAGUUGUCGUCAGCACGCGUAGUGAGAUGUUGGAGUUAAGUCCAGCAACGAGCGCAACCCUCGUUGUAUGUUGCCAGCACGUGAUGGUGGGGGACUCAUAGGGAGACUGCCGGGGGUCAACUCAGAUGAAGGGUGGAGA